Molecule: long non-coding RNA, 106 nt
Organism: Drosophila arizonae
Lineage: Eukaryota; Metazoa; Arthropoda; Insecta; Diptera; Drosophilidae
Source: RefSeq, a predicted model, not a curated record
AUGGCAUUGCUAUCUUGACUAUUGUUCUCCUAUCCAUAUUUGCUGCCUUGGCCCUGCUGGCCACCUUAUAUGAUUAUUUCCUAGUGUCGGAUCAAGCGAAAUUUCC